ACAGAGGGUGCGAGCGUUAAUCGGAAUUACUGGGCGUAAAGCGCGCGUAGGCGGUUAUGUAAGUUGGGUGUGAAAUCCCUGGGCUCAACCUAGGAAUUGCAUUCAAAACUGCAUGGCUUGAGUGAAGUAGAGGUGAGUGGAAUUUCCGGAGUAGCGGUGAAAUGCGUAGAUACCGGAAGGAACACCAGUGGCGAAGGCGACUCACUGGACUUUAACUGACGCUGAGGUGCGAAAGCGUGGGGAGCAAACAGG
This 252-nucleotide ribosomal RNA is filed under the name uncultured bacterium. Its description in RNAcentral is "partial 16S ribosomal RNA". It matches the Rfam family "Bacterial small subunit ribosomal RNA", at positions 525 to 776 of the family's 1533-position model. The record is from RNAcentral.